AGGCGGAGACACAAGGCUCCGUUCCACUGGGCACGCCAGCGGGUAGGGGUGGGGGCGGGGAGGUGCGCGCGCAGCGUGGGAGGAGGCCAACUCUCGGGGCGCUCCCUAGCCCUGGGUGGGUGGAGCGGGGGAAGCGGAGUACGUUGGACCCGGCUCCGCCCUACCCCACGGGGCCGCCUGGAGAGGUGCUGGGAGCUGGGUGGAGCUUAGAGGAAUUAAACUUUGGCCCUGCGCCUCGUCCAGCCUAGGUUCCACCCUUUUCUGGGAACUUUACACCCCGCCACUCCUGAGCACCGCACACCGGCUUCCUCCCAGUCCCUCAUCUGAGAACUCAUGAAGCCACUUGGAAUCCCUCUCUGCUUUGCCUGGCUCAUUCCAUGUCAAUUUCAGAUCUUCACUUCAGGUCAGCUCCAAGGAGGCUAUCCUUGCCCAUCUUCCUAAAAUAGAGCUCUCAAAACCUGGCUGUUUUCCUUCAGAGCACUGGCCUCCAAUUGCUCCGGUAGAUUGCAAAUGACCUGCUUUCUUUCUGUUCCCGGGCGUUUGGACCCCUGUCUUGGACCGCUGUCGGAUAGUAAAUCCCAAGUAAGGUACCUGCCGUCGGCAGAUUUGAGCUUUCUUCUUGGACACCUAAUACCCAGAGUCCUCCAGGCUCCGGUAGAUUGCAAAUGACCUGCUUUCUUUCUGUUCCCGGGCGGCAUCGGACCCGUCGGAGAGUAAAUCCCAAGUAAGGUACCUGCCGUUGGCAGAUUUGAGCUUUCUUCUUGGACACCUAAUACCCACAGUCCUCCAGGCUCCGGUAGAUUGCAAAUGACCUGCUUUCUUUCUGUUCCCGGGUGGCAUCGACCCGUCGGAGAGUAAAUCCCAAGUAAGGUACCUGCCGUUGGCAGAUUUGAGCUUUCUUCUUGGACACCUAAUACCCACAGUCCUCCAGUAAAUCCCAAGCAAGGUACCUGCCGUCAGCAGAUUUGAGCUUUCUUCUUGGACACCUAAUACCCACAGUCCUCCAGGCUCCGGUAGAUUGCAAAUGACCUGCUUUCUUUCUGUUCCCGGGCUGCGUUCGGACCCCUGUCGGAUAGUAACUCCCAAAAAAACAAACAAAGACAUGGAUUUACUGUGCAUAUUAGCAGAUCCAUACUGGAAAAUGCAUGGAGGUUUCAUAUACACCACUUACAGGUUUCCAAAGCCACAAUUUCCUUCAUAUGUUCAAACUCUUCAGGAUGCAGAAAGGCAGUGAACUCCUCCGGAGUAGCUGUCAGGUCACCAUUGAGGUCUGCAGCUUUGAAUCUUCUCUCAUCACGUGGCAGCAUCUUUUUAAAGGUGUGAUGAUCUGAAGAAUCAUGAAACUCUGCGGGGUUUCCUAGGUUUUCAGCUCCUCAGUAGUGACAAAGCCAUACCCAUCAUUGUCGAUUCGAUCAACAAUCUUCCCUAGCCUCUCCUUGCUCUCGUCCGGGGUGAGCUCGUCGAAGUUCUUGGAGUCCUCCUUGCCCAGGAAGGCCUCGUGGUCGUACUGGAAGCUCUGGUUGUCCUCAGGGGGCCGCUCGCCCAGCUCCGAGUCGGGCCGCACCACGCGCUCUUUGCGCACCGUGGGCUUGGCCCGCAGAACCCGCGGCGCCAGCACCAGCGCCAGCAGCAGCCCCAGGGCUAACCCCAGGCGGCCACCGCGCGCCAUCGUCCCGAGGAGAGGGCGGCCGGGAGGGAGACGCUGAGCGAGCGACAACAGCGGCAGCUCGGGAAUGGGGGCUCGGAGCGCGGCGGCCAAGUUUUAUGUUAUGUAUAUUUUACAAGUAAAAAAAUUUUUUCACCUCAGCCUGA
Molecule: long non-coding RNA, 1812 nt
Filed under: Homo sapiens (human)
Lineage: Eukaryota; Metazoa; Chordata; Mammalia; Primates; Hominidae
Description: HSALNT0373076
Source: RNAcentral